This 1197-nucleotide long non-coding RNA is filed under the name Homo sapiens (human). RNAcentral's name for it is "non-protein coding lnc-PABPC4L-21:4". The record is from RNAcentral. Lineage: Eukaryota; Metazoa; Chordata; Mammalia; Primates; Hominidae.
GGCUUUGGUCACAGUGACCGCCACCGUUGCCCGGGGAUGGGUCCCUGAGACUUGGCGAAGUAGGAGCCCUGUGUGAUCGUGCGUCAGAGUCGGGGCUGAGACCAGUCCUGGCCAGGGCAGUUACCAGGACGGUCUCCGGAGGCCGGGAUGCGCGGAGGCUCCACCAGCAGGAAGAAACGCCAGGAGGAAGAAACCUGAGACAGAUCGCCGGGGACGCAGCGCGGGAUCCCAGCCUCAGGCUUGCGCGGACGGUGUGCGGCUACCCAAGGUGCGAAAAGGAAAGAAGGCCAAAGGGAAGAAGGUGGUGCCGACCCUUGCUGUCUUGAAAAAGCAGGAGACCGUGAAAGUGGUGAAUCUUCCGUUUGAGAAAUUUGGCACUGGACAGGACAUUUUGGCAUUGGACAGAACAUCCAGCCCAAAAGGCACCUCACUUGCUUUGUCAAAUGGCCCCAUUAUACUAGGUUGCAACAGCAGAGAGCCAUCCUCUAUAAGCAGCUAGAAGUGCCUUCUGUGAUUAAUCAGUUCACCAGGGCCUUGGACCACCAAACAGCUGCUCAGUGGGGUAAGCUGGCUGGCAAGUACAGACCACAGACAAAGCAAGAGAAGCAGCAGAGACUGUUGGCCUGGGCUGAGAAGAAAGCAAAGGAGACAUCCCCACUAAGAGAUCACCUGUCCUUUUAACGGGGGUUAACUCUGUCACCACCUUAGUGAAGAAAAAGAAGGCUCAGCUGGUGGUGACUGCACAGGACAUAGAUCCCAUUGAGUUGGUUGUCUUCCUGCCUGCCCUGUAUUGUAAACUGAGCGUUCCUUACUGCAUUGUCUAAUGGAAGGCAAGCUUGAGACAUCUAGGAUUAAAAAACAAACAAACGAACAAACAAACAACAACUCUUUAAAAUAUUCUUUUAAAACUUCUAAUUAUUAGUUUUUUUUUAAAUCUCUUCAGUACAUUAAAAUGUCUGGUGGUAGGAAAAUACUGGACUCAUAUAUGACUGUCUACUUGAUUUGCAGGGCCCAGUGCAAAAUGAAAUGGAUGUUGUACCUCGUUCAAAGUGUUAAGCGUUUCAAGAUGGCAACAGCAGAGCAUUAGGCCAAGUAUGAGGUCAUUAUGUACAUGGGUCCUCGUGUGACCACACAGGUCACAGGAACAUGAAGCUAGACCUGAGUGUAUAUUCAGAUAGGUAAAUCUUACAGAUUUUU